UGUCGGUUCUUCUCUCUCUUUUUCCUCCCACACCAGAACCUUUUCUUCUCUCUUUUUCCUCUUCCGAAUUUUUUCUUACCCAAGUUAUAUUAAAGAUCAUGAGAAGAACAUCGUUUAUGUUUGUUCUGAAGAACGGAAACCAUUAUAGUCACUUCUUCUUUGAUCGUUCUUAUUCAACUAUAUUUCGUUGAUGUUAGGGUUAUAACUAAUUGUUCUUGUGAGAAUUCUUUUUUUUUUUAGUUUCUGCAAUUUCAGAAGGAGCUAUUAGAAGACCGAUUGAUCAUCAAUAAUGGUUCACAAGGAUUCUAAGUAUGUCUUCGUUGAGAGGAGGAACUGGAGUUGGAAAACAGAUGUAUGUCUUCAUUGUGUGCAUGAAGUGUCUCACUUAAUAAUUACUGGACGAUUUUUGUUUUUAUGAUCUUAUGUAUGUUGGUACAUUUCUUGUCGGUAUGGAUGCAGUUCAUUUGGUUAUAAAGUCAGAGAUAAAGUUAAUCGAAAUGAUUGUCUUUCUCACUGAAUUAGAGUUGUCCUUCAAGGUGAUGGACCUCUCUAUGGAGAUGCGGUGGACUUGUUUGCUCAAAGUUUUCUUGUUGCUGUUAGCGGUAAUAUGAUGAGUCCAAUAUGCAACAACUCUUGUCUGCUUUGUCGUUUGAGUCAUGUUCAUAAUCUGGCAGAUGGAUGGUAUCGAUGAAUGUACACUAGAUUAUUUGUCCAUGGAUUUGUGGUGAUGUUCUCAAGCAUUGGGAACUUGUUAAUAGUUGUUUGUUGUUCUUUAAGUGUUGGCUCAGUUCAUCAUCUGGUAGGAUCUCGUUUUGCUGGUUCACAAAACAUAGUUCAGGCCUUUUUUUUUUUUUCUUUUGUGAUUCCGAAUCUAAGUGUAAAUAGAGUUCAGUUAUGAAUUGUGUAACAAAUACAAUGGGUUUUAUUCAACCAUUUGAAUUU
Long non-coding RNA from Papaver somniferum (opium poppy), 942 nucleotides. RefSeq lists it as uncharacterized. The record is from RefSeq and is a predicted model, not a curated record. The transcript has 6 exons. Lineage: Eukaryota; Viridiplantae; Streptophyta; Magnoliopsida; Ranunculales; Papaveraceae.